CGUAGCCGCGGUAAUUCCAGCUCCAAUAGCGUAUAUUAAAGUUGUUGCAGUUAAAAAGCUCGUAGUUGAAUUUCAGGCCUGGCUGGACGGUCCGCCCUUCGGGUGAGUACUGUCUGUGGUCGGGUCCUACCUUCUGGCGAAGCGUCAUGGCCUUAACCGGCCGUGGCGGGGAACCAGGACUUUUACUGUGAAAAAUUAGAGUGUUCAAAGCAGGCAAUCGCUUGGAUACAUUAGCAUGGAAUAAUGGAAUAGGACAAUGGUUCUAUUUGUUGGUUUCUAGGACCGUUGUAAUGAUUAAUAGGGAUAGUUGGGGGCAUUAGUAUUCAAUUGUCAGAGGUGAAAUUCUUGGAUUUAUUGAAGACUAACUACUGCGAAAGCAUUUGCCAAGGAUGUUUUCAUUAAUCAAGAACGAAAGUUAGGGGAUCGAAGACGAUCAGAUACCGUCGUAGUCUUAACCAUAAACUAUGCCGACUAGGAAUCGGGCGAUGUUGAAAAAUGACGCGCUCGGCACCUCAUGGGA
Molecule: ribosomal RNA, 520 nt
Filed under: uncultured Paraglomus
Lineage: Eukaryota; Fungi; Glomeromycota; Glomeromycetes; Paraglomerales; Paraglomeraceae
Description: SSU rRNA
Rfam family: Eukaryotic small subunit ribosomal RNA
Source: RNAcentral